GGGAGAAGAUAUGCUUCCUGAAAAACCUCAAGACUACCGAUUGUUCAUCCAUUCUUACCAAGAUGAGAUUGAUUCGUGGCGUCCAUGUGGCUCAAAUGUCCGUUCUUUACAAUUCAAAGUGGCAGACCCGGAUAGCUUGUUAUGGCCUCGUGAUAUCUCCUUCAUCUUUGACAGCUUCAAACUUGUUAAAGUGUUGGAUUUGGAAUCGUUCAACAUAGGUGGCACUUUUCCUAGUGAAGUAGAGUCAUUAAUUCAUUUGAGGUACUUUGCUGUUCAAACAUAUGCAAAUUCAAUUCCUUC
This 300-nucleotide unclassified non-coding RNA is filed under the name Hevea brasiliensis (rubber tree). Lineage: Eukaryota; Viridiplantae; Streptophyta; Magnoliopsida; Malpighiales; Euphorbiaceae. The record is from RNAcentral.